GGCGUUAGCUCAGUUGGUAGAGCAGUUGACUUUUAAUCAAUUGGUCGCAGGUUCGAAUCCUGCACGACCCACCA
This 74-nucleotide transfer RNA is filed under the name Salmonella enterica subsp. enterica serovar Schwarzengrund. RNAcentral's name for it is "tRNA-Lys". It matches the Rfam family "tRNA". Rfam says of the family: Transfer RNA (tRNA) molecules are approximately 80 nucleotides in length. Their secondary structure includes four short double-helical elements and three loops (D, anti-codon, and T loops). Further hydrogen bonds mediate the characteristic L-shaped molecular structure. tRNAs have two regions of fundamental functional importance: the anti-codon, which is responsible for specific mRNA codon recognition, and the 3' end, to which the tRNAs corresponding amino acid is attached (by aminoacyl-tRNA synthetases). tRNAs cope with the degeneracy of the genetic code in two manners: having more than one tRNA (with a specific anti-codon) for a particular amino acid; and 'wobble' base-pairing, i.e. permitting non-standard base-pairing at the 3rd anti-codon position. The record is from RNAcentral. Lineage: Bacteria; Pseudomonadati; Pseudomonadota; Gammaproteobacteria; Enterobacterales; Enterobacteriaceae.